This is a long non-coding RNA of Alexandromys fortis (reed vole), 1665 nucleotides long. RefSeq lists it as uncharacterized. The record is from RefSeq and is a predicted model, not a curated record. NCBI's taxonomy places the organism in Eukaryota, Metazoa, Chordata, Mammalia, Rodentia, Cricetidae. The transcript is spliced from 4 exons.
CCUACAGCUGGAUCUUAAGGAAGCCUUUCCUCAACUGAGGCUCCUUCCUCUCUGAUGACUCUAGCUUGUGCCAAGAAGUUCCCAGAGCGAGGAGGAAGGAAGAGCAAGUUCUGCAGCCAGGACAGCAAAGGUGACCUUGUAUGCCAAAGUAUUCCAGAUCUCUCUCAAGCAACUCUUGCAGCACAGAGAGAAAAGAAUGUCAGAACAAUGGCUGAGGCUGCCUUAAGGGUUGAAAGGGCCUGCGCUAGACACUAAAGGCGAGAGGUUGGGAACUUCAUCGCAUCCUGUCGUGACUCGGAUGACAUGAUCGUGGAGACAUUUCCCAUCUACGUGUUGGAGUUCUAUGCCAGUGGACAGCGUUCACAUGAGUGACUCAGCUGCUCAGCUGGGCAGAUGGAAAUGGUUCCAACAGUGCUUGGAGAGCAGUGGCUUGGACCAGAGCGGGAUUCACUAGAGGAAGAAGACCCAGAUUAAACCGGUAAUACAAGAGCUCCUUCUGGGACUCCCAGACCUGGAUCCUAUGGGAGGAGUCAGGCAGAGAUGGGGAAGUGACCGCACAUACUCGUCGGGCCCACCUUUAAUGUAGAGAAAUGGAAGGUCUAUGAUCCAGCAUAUUGAUGGAGGUCUUAAAAAUGGACCAGUGCUGGUGACCAGGUAAUCAGAGACCAUGCAGCCCAGAGCUGUUGGAGCGACGGGAGACUUUUAGAUGAGCAGAGGGAGCCCUGACUUGUGAAGCUGUGAGCCAUGGGAUAAGAUGGAAUCAGUCAGAUGAGAGAUUGAAGAAACUGGGAGACAACACAACCACUCUCCUGUCCUCGGGACAAAGGCUUUACAAUCAAAGGCGAUAGGAAUCUCUGAUGGAUUGGCUCAUAUGAGCCUUUAGGGACACAUGCUUGUCUCCAGCUGAGGUCCCAUGAAUAUUAGAACUAAAAAGCAGCAAAAGAAGGGUGGGUCCUGUUAAGAGAACUGAGCAUGCAGGAAGUGGUCUUUGCUGGCUAGUGUACAAACCCUGGUGUCCUAAGAAAGAAAUGGAUUGGAGUAAGGACUGGAAGGCUUGUUUGGAGCCUUGGUGACAGGGUGGAGCCUGUGACUAGUUGGGACCCAUGUGAAGACUAUAGAGUCUUAGGCCAAAAUUUGGACCAAUAUCAAAACUUUUGUUGUUAAUGUUGCUGUUGGGUCAUAGGUGGUUGUUUAAAUUUUCCUUGGGAAUGAAGUUUAGCAACGGCAAGGGAUUUCCAUAAUAUUAAAUGGAACCUGCUUGGAUGGAGCUAGUAUGUUGACUCGUUAUCAUUGCCCUGUUUCUCCCCAGGCCUUUCUCUCCAGCUCUCUGCGUGCAUUUGUUCACACAAAGGCGAGAAGAGGGGGCCAGAUUUCCUGGAACCGAAGUUACAGGUGGACACGUGUGUGGGAACUCUUCUCAGGUCCUCUGUAAGGGCAGUACUCGCUCUUAGCUGCCAAACCCUCUCUCCAGCCCCCACAUUGCUCAACAUUCGAAACUUCAAGCCCCAUCCAAGAUUCUAGAUUUAUCAGGGUUUUUUAUUUCCUCCCAGGUACUUUGAAAGUUCCAUUUACCCUUCAGAAAUAUUAUUAUUGGGAGACAAUGGCAAUGACAAGAAAACAUAUGAGGAACUUCUUUUUAAUAAAAGAAAAAAAUGAGGAUAUAAA